RNAcentral lists this non-coding RNA (99 nucleotides) under Romboutsia hominis. RNAcentral's name for it is "SAM riboswitch aptamer (S box leader)". It matches the Rfam family "SAM riboswitch aptamer (S box leader)". Rfam says of the family: The SAM riboswitch is found upstream of a number of genes which code for proteins involved in methionine or cysteine biosynthesis in Gram-positive bacteria. The SAM riboswitch acts at the level of transcription termination control. The record is from Rfam by way of RNAcentral. Lineage: Bacteria; Bacillati; Bacillota; Clostridia; Peptostreptococcales; Peptostreptococcaceae.
UUCUUAUCAAGAGUGGCGGAGGGACUGGCCCGACGAAGCCCAGCAACCAGUAUUAUUAUACGGGUGCUAAAUCCUGCAGCAUAAGCUGAAAGAUGAGAG